Long non-coding RNA from Canis lupus familiaris (dog), 1388 nucleotides. RefSeq lists it as uncharacterized. The transcript is spliced from 3 exons. The record is from RefSeq and is a predicted model, not a curated record. Lineage: Eukaryota; Metazoa; Chordata; Mammalia; Carnivora; Canidae.
GCACUCCUUCCCCCCCCGCGCCGGCUGUAUCUUUACCUCGUCCUGGCCAUCCUGGCCCUGGAACUGCUCUGUUCCCUGACCUGUCUGCUCAUCUACACAGUGAAAAUUCGAAAAUUUAAUAAAGCCAAACCACAGCCGGAUGUACUUGAAGAGGAAAAAAUCUAUGCUUACCCCAGCAAUAUCACCUCGGAGACUGGAUUCAGGACCGUCUCAAGCCUGGAAGACAUCGUCGAAAAGCAGGGAGACGUCAUCGCCCACCUGAAGCGACACAACGCCCUGCUGAGUAAGCGGUUGCUGACGUUCACUUCCUCCGGGGACUCUCCGCCCAGUAGAGCAUGAGGGCCUGGCCAGGCCAGCGGCUGCAGAGGGAGCGGGGCCCACUGACCACCUGACAAGCCGGCCCAGCGGGUGGCAGUUUGGGCCGGAUGCCACUGGAUGCCACUGAUGGUUCUUAUUUGAAACCUGAAUUGUGUUCUCCUUGUGGGGCUGUUGAGCAGGUGGGACUCGUGGGUCACCUGAAAGGUGCUUCACAGAGCCUGGAUGCUCCAAUGCUCCGGGAGGACGUCUCUUUUUGCACAUUUUGAAGUCCUUUACCGUCUGGCUCAUCCGAGGAUCAGAGGUAUGAUUAAGCCUGGUCUCAAGCAGUGCUGCUUCCGCAGGCCGUAGAGCCCUGGAAUGACUUGGCUGCUUAUAUGGAGGAGAUUGACAGGAUCAUCUGUUUUAAACAAGGGUUUGAUCAAAUAAGUUCUUUCCACUCUUAAACUGAUGGGAGGAGUCAUUAUUUUUUGUGGUUAAAUAAUGUUUUCUUUGCCCUGCGGAGCCUCACCAUGUACCCGACCUGCUUGUGUGCUGUGGGAUUACAGCUUGGCCCUGUAGCUCUUAUGAAGAAUUUCCUCCCCAUAGGGCCUGUCUCACUAGGUGAUUCACUAUGCAAACACCUACAGCUUUUCAUUCUCCACAAAUAAGAGAAUCAAGAUCGCUCGGACCAGGGUCAGACUGACCAAUGCUGCCCGUUGUAUCAGCAGCACCUUCCAUUGGCAACAGAAAUACCCGAGAGAAAACCUGAGAACUUUCCCUUUUUUUUUUUUCUUUCCCUUUAUUUUAAUCCUUCUUCAAGGAGUUGCCAUGUGCUUCAGUAUUGACUAUCCCUUGAUUAGAUCAAGAAAGGUAGGUUCAGUGGCUCUAAGAGGGUCUAAAAAGGAAAAAUUCUACUUUAUUACUUUAUUUAUUUAAGUAAUCUCUAUGCCCAAUGUGGGGCUCGAACUUGACCCAGGGAUCAAGAGUCACGCACCCUUCCAGCCGAGCCAGCCAGUCCCCCCUUGGAGUAUACUUUCAAAUUAUGAGAAUAAAUUGUCAUAUAAACUUAUAUAGAUACUAAUUAUAUCUAA